ACUGUUACAUAUUGGCCGUCCCCUGUUCGUCCCACUGGAACCUCGGCCCAGUCGGCCGGGCAGGACGUCGUCCCAGCUCUCGACUCCCGUCCGAGUAGGAACGCUCCCGGGGCAAGGUCGGGGGAUGGGGCCGCCCCCUGCGCAACUCCUCCAAGAGGGUUCUAGACAAUUCCGUCAUUUGCUCUCGAACGUCCUUCAUAAGCUCCGUCCGUAAGGUCUGCUUCCAGUCGGAGACUUCCGAAGGUGUAGGGGGUACAAAUCUCGCUAGUGGCCAUACACACGGAAGGAUCAACCGUCUCUGCAUGAUCCAGUUCCAGGGCCAAGGCCUCUCGCCGCAGACCUUCAAACGUCAGCCCAGGAUCCCGGCGAAGCUGUAAGCGUAGACUCUGCCGGAUGGGUCCCUCACGGAGUCCCAGGAGGAACUGAUCCCGCAACAAGGUCUCUUCUUCCCCUAGGCCAUGAUCACGUCGCCCCUUCAACCUAGCAAACUGCUCCCGUAGUCGUAAGGCGAAGGCCCGCAGAGUCUGCCUGGGUCCUUGUUUACAAUUAAAGAACUGAGCUCUCAGGACAGCCACCGGGGUGGCGUCACCAUACUGCCCGACCAGGAAAUCAAAGAUUGCUUGGGCGGUGCCUCGGGUUGCUUCGGGCGCGGCUUGUACUUCCCUCUUGGCCUCGCCUUCAAGUGAAUUCAGCACGAACUGGGUCUUCUGCGAGGCACUCAGCCCCUGUAGUCCCGCCAGGUACUCUACCUGAGCCUUCCACUCCGUCAAACUCAAUUCUGAUCCUGGUCCUCCAUACUUCUGGGCCCAAGGGGCACCCACAAAAACAACAGGCAUAACAGGAGGCCGGACUACCGGCAAAUCUUCGUCCCGCCAUCAUGGGCCUCUGGUCGCUCAACUCAAGGUGGAAAACCCUGCCGACUACGCCAAGUUGUCACGGGCCGGAACGAGCCCCUAUUAAAUGUACCACCUCAAGGAGCUUACCCAGAGACACCACAGACAGACAACAAGCAGUGGGAGCCCUUGAUGCAACAGUCACAACCCAGCGGAUAACAGAACGGGAAGCCAACUCAAUCGUUCCUCUUCAGACAGAACUGGUAGGUAGCCUUUUUAGGCGAAGGUAAAAGGAGGGGGGUCCCUCAGUAAGUCUUCCUCGACACAGACGACAAAGGAUCGGACAGAUGGGGCUACGAGAUCUCCACUCAGCAGUCCCUUGCUAACACAGUCGAUGGUGGGUAUAGUGAUUCCUCUUCAGAACAGCCAAUGGUCAACACCUGCAUAAACAAUGUCAAGGAAUUCUCACAGCAGUUCCUCUCCAAGACAGUGAAUGAUACGUAUAUGUACAAGCGAUAGUAAGGGUCGAGCACACAACAGUUCCUCUUCGAACAGGCACGGCAGGUGUUCGUACAGACAAUGGUAAAAGGAUCUUCUCCUAGCGGCUUCUCUUCAAAGCAGACAAUGGCAGGCAAUGAAACAACUUAUAGUAAGUGACGUUCACAUGGCAGAUUAUCU
Long non-coding RNA from Cyprinus carpio carpio, 1511 nucleotides. NCBI's taxonomy places the organism in Eukaryota, Metazoa, Chordata, Actinopteri, Cypriniformes, Cyprinidae. The record is from Ensembl.